RNAcentral lists this non-coding RNA (33 nucleotides) under Bacteroides fragilis 3_1_12. The record is from RNAcentral. Lineage: Bacteria; Pseudomonadati; Bacteroidota; Bacteroidia; Bacteroidales; Bacteroidaceae. RNAcentral also lists the same sequence under 1 other name.
GAAGCGGAAUCUGAAAAGCUAAAAGAGUAAGAG